RNAcentral lists this unclassified non-coding RNA (409 nucleotides) under Melaleuca acuminata. Its description in RNAcentral is "partial external transcribed spacer". Lineage: Eukaryota; Viridiplantae; Streptophyta; Magnoliopsida; Myrtales; Myrtaceae. The record is from RNAcentral.
GUGCUGGUGCAUCGAACUGCUUCCCUCACUUUCGAUCAAUUGUUCGCUCCAAGAUUUGAUGUUGGAUGCAAAAAGUGAGUUCCUGUGUUGCAUACCUAUCGCGACGGAAGUUUGUGCCUUUAGCGGUCCCUUCCAUCAAAGCAUCCUUUUGGAUGCUUGGUUGGACUAGAUAGUCGGGCUCGUGUUCCAUGAAUGUUACCUCAUUGGAUCGUUCAUAUGGACCACGAGUGCCUACUUGUUCUCUCGGAUGCGGAACCUUGUUCAUGGUACUGGGGUCAUUGGCCCUUGCUUCCAAAUCUUCAAGCGUUUAUCGCUUUUACUGGAAUGACGCUCUUGCCUUGUCUUUGACCCAUGUGGAGCUCUCGAGCUUCACGAUGGAUCAUGCUGGGCGGACGUCGUGAAGGAAUGC